AGGAUAAACGCUGGCGGCGUGCCUAACACAUGCAAGUCGAACGUCCUACGCAAGUAGGGAGUGGCGGACGGGUGAGUAACACGUGGGCAAUCUACCUUUCGGUGAGGAAUACCGGCGAGAAAUCGCCGACAAUACCGCAUACGCUUCGCAAGAAGCAAAGUCGCAAGACGCCAGAGGAGGAGCCUGCGCCCGAUUAGCUGGUUGGUGAGGUAAGAGCUCACCAAGGCGACGAUCGGUAGCUGGUCUGAGAGGAUGAUCAGCCACACUGGGAUUGAGAACGGCCCAGACUCCUACGGGGGGCAGCAGUGAGGAAUUUUCGUCAAUGGGGGCAACCCUGAACGAGCAACGCCGCGUGCAGGAAGACGCUUUUCGGAGUGUAAACUGCUUUUCUAGGGACGAGUAAGGACGGUACCUAAGGAAUAAGCCCCGGCUAACUACGUGCCAGCAGCCGC
RNAcentral lists this ribosomal RNA (452 nucleotides) under uncultured bacterium. Its description in RNAcentral is "SSU rRNA". It matches the Rfam family "Bacterial small subunit ribosomal RNA", at positions 26 to 518 of the family's 1533-position model. The record is from RNAcentral.